AACAUACUGAACUAUGACGUUUUUGUGACUUUUUGGACGACAUAUAAACUUCAUCAGGUAGUUAAACAAAAAACAUCAAAGAACAGUCUUUCAACGUUAUUUAUUCUGUGCAUCUUUUCAUUUUUCUUCAGUAAAGUCCUCAGACAUACAGCUCAGCACACCAAAAGCUAAAGACCUCAUAAAACAAACAAAAACUCAGAAUUCCUGCAUCUGAACCACCACUGACAUCACAGUAGCUUCAGUUUUGUGUAAUUUCACUCACACAUUCUAGAGUUUUUCCUGUUUGGGGUUGAAUCCGCAGUUGAUGUAUUUGGAUUUUCUAUCUUGUUUUCUUUUAUCUGAGCCACAUCAUCAUUCCUGAGUUGUAAUUUCUGUUUCAUGAGGACUUUUUUUUGCUUCUGUCUUCACAGAUUCUAUGCACAUUUGGACUAUAUAGAUGUCAGCAUUUCAUUUAAAGCAGCAUCUGCAGUGAUUCACAAGGUAAUCCACAGCUGUCAUUGCAUUGGUGGUGGACCUGCCAAACAACAAUGCCUGCUGUGAUGACAAUGCCACCAUCCCUCCUCUCUCCUGCAGGAAACCCUAACGCACUUCAGCUGCUGCUUCCUUCUCCACUGCUACACACCCUAAAAUAAAAAACAAACACAUGACUACAAUUGUUUCUCUGCUGUAUAAAUGCUUUUAAAUACAACAGCUGGACAUGGCUUCUAGCUCUUUAAGAUGAUUCACCACAAAACAGAAUAACAUGACUGUCUGACUCAAGCUACAGAAAACUUUCUACAGUAGCUUUUAAACCCACAAUUUGCUUACAAGGAUACAAUAAUCAUAAAGCAAUUUCUGAUGCUGCUGUUAGAGGAUGUGAGCUGGAUUAGAAAAGAAAAUGUGUAAGUGCUGCCCUCGUGUGGCUUCCAGCUGAAACCAACCUGCACUUCAAAAGAAUUUUCCUGCAUUGAAACAAAUACGAUGCAUUUCAUUUUGCACACAGGAUCCUAUUAUUUGCAGAACUUCUGUAAUAAGUUUACAAUCCUAAAAUGACCCAGGUCUUAUUUGGAGGACAAUUUUCGGUCAGUUAAAAGUUCAACUAUUAAAGCCCAACUUGCCUUAAACCGACUCCAACAUUUCAGAAAUCUCAUGUCUUCAGUGAUGGCGUGAAAAGUGUAUUUUUGUCUAAUAUGUCAGGUUUAAAAGGUUAAAUCUUCCUGGUUUCCUUCUAAUGGAACAACACAUGAAUGAACAUGAUUACACAUCUAAAUUAACUUGUAUUUUCAGAUCUUGGAUUUCUUUGUCUGCAUCCAAAAAUGCCUACUUUUUAGACCUAAAAUAUUUUAUUUGACUGUGUUUAGGUUAAAAAUAAAAUAUAAUCAAAGAUUAGUCAUUGUUUCACCACUAUAUACACAGUCAAGGAAAACUAUCCAAAUUUGCAACGAUUUCUCAGAAUAAACUGAAAUUAAGUCACAGCAAUCUCUCUUGUAAAACACUGGUUUUAAUUUUAAAGAAAUAUGAAAAAUGUACUUAUUCAAAAGCACUUGAGUAAUUUAGAGAUUAAGGUUAAGCAAAUACAAUAUUAGAUGUAAUAUAGUUAACACCAACUGCACUGUAAACUUUUAAAGCUGUAUGAAGGACAGAUAAACCACAGAAACAAAGUUUUGGUUUUUUGGUUUGCUAAACAGAGCAUGGGGAGAACUAAAACUUUGAUUACAACUCUGAUAUAGAACUUUAAUUUACACUUGAUACAUUUUUGUGACUCCAUGUCUGCUAAUCAACAGAUGAUCCAUCAAUGACUCACAAAAUCCUCAACAACCCAUCUCAUUCACUUCUUCUGUGACGUGAUUUGUUCUAAACAACUUGUCUGUCACUGAAAGCAUUUUUAGUUUACCAAAGUAAUAACAUAUUUUAAGAAAUCUUUGUCCUGUAAAAUGUACACUUUUUAAUGGCUAAAAAUACUGUAUCAAAUGUACAUAAUACUGCUGUGUAUAAUGCUUGACUGUUAAUGAUGUAAUGUCCCAUCUAAAAGUUUAAAUUUAACUGAGAAUAAUGCAAUUUCACAUUUCAUUUACAGUGUUUUUUAGGUUUUAGCAAUGCUGUUGCUAAUAGUUGAAUUCGACCUAUCAGUGGUGUCACGCAGCAUCGGGAUACUUUUAGAAUAGUUCUGUUUUUGUACUUAUUUCAGAGCAAACAUGCCCCCAGAAAUGGUUAAAAUUGAAGGCUUUAAAGCCUCUAUCAGGAUUUACAUCUAUUUUAUGCCAGUUUUCCUGUCUUUGCUGAUGCUGCACUGAAUGGUUCACAGUUUAAGGUUCACUUUGUCUAAAAUCACAUCUUAGAUUACAUGAAUGUCUGCUUGUUCAAUAACCUGCCAGAAAACAGACCUGUUCAAGGAACACUUUUCACUUUACUCCUGUACUUUUCUUCCCUGACCACAUGUGUUUUGACACAUUCUGCUCAGUAAACAGAUAGACCAGAAUUUAACAUGUCAUAUUGUUCCUUUAACGUCAGGAGGGAAAAAAGUAACUGCAACUGUGCAAUAGACUAAAGCAAUGUAGGCAAACAUCACUCACCUUGUGAAUCACUGCAGAUGCUGCUUUAAAUGAAAUGCUGACAUCUAUAUAGUCCAAAUGUGCAUAGAAUCUGUGAAGACAGAAGCAAAAAAACGUCCUCAUGAAACAGAAAUUACAACUCAGGAAUGAUGAUGUGGCUCAGAUAAAAGAAAACAAGAUAGAAAAUCCAAAUACAUCAAUUUCAUGUCCAAUAUUUCAUUAUCAUGUGUGGCAUUUCUUCUAACUUUUCUAUUUUACAGCAUUGUUGGAGCUGUGUUUAAUUUUCAGUCAUGUCUCAUUCUUGUAGCUUAUUGCUUUUCUACUAGAUAUUUUGUUUUCUGAGCCAUGUCUGCAAAAUUAAUAAUGUUUUAUCUUAUCCUAACUUGUGAAAAAUACAGACAGUAUGUCGGUCUAUAAUUUUAUUUAGCAGAUGCUUUUAUCCAAGACACAUCUGAGAGUAGAUCCAACACAAGCAAUGAUCUAAUCAGGAGAAAAAUCAACUUCAUGUGUUUUUCAAGGGAGGCUCUGUGCCUCAGUGCUGAUGAGAGGAUGAGCUGCAGCUGCGCUGGAUGAGUUGAAUGAGCUGUGGAGGUCCAGCUCGUUUGUCAUCUCCCGCUUAAAAGGCCGGCAAUGCGACUAUGCCGAUCAUUCGCACUCUUCCUCCGAAGCUGUGCGGAUCAUUCCUCCUGUCCAGUCUCUCCGGAGACCGAGCAGCUCGCAUUUUCCCCAGCCGUCCUCCGACCAGAUGGAGUCCUCCUUCUUCUUUUUCGUGUGGCACAGUGAGCGAGAGACAGGAAACGGGGGAAAAGAGUUGGACAAGACAUGCAGCAGAGUGCCGCGACCGGGUAUCGAACCCGAGCCGCUGCGUCGGUGAACAACUCCCGUACACGGGUCGUACGCUUAACGCAUUGAGCUAUACGGGAGCCGGGUAAGAAGCAGUUUUUGAUUUGUCAGCGUAGUUUUUGAAUAAAACAAAAUGUGGAUCGUUAUGAUCAUGCUUCGACUGUCAAACACGUUUGGUAAUUUAGCACAUGGCAUUUCAACCUAAAUAAAUGCCUGAUUGUCUGCGCCUGCCAGAAAAUGUUCCCCCCCCUCUAUAUUCUCAGCU
Molecule: long non-coding RNA, 3639 nt
Organism: Amphiprion ocellaris (clown anemonefish)
Lineage: Eukaryota; Metazoa; Chordata; Actinopteri; Pomacentridae
Exons: 3
Source: RefSeq, a predicted model, not a curated record